GUGCUGUGUGUGUCACGGCCCUAUGUUAAUAGUGAUUUGGUCAGUAUCCUGGGUCAGCUCAAGGGGACGGCUGAAAGCAAAUUAGAGAAAAUGGGAGACAUUAUUUAUUAUGUAUUAUUAUUUGUUAUGGUAAGGAAAGAUUUGGG
Molecule: long non-coding RNA, 146 nt
Organism: Alosa sapidissima (American shad)
Lineage: Eukaryota; Metazoa; Chordata; Actinopteri; Clupeiformes; Clupeidae
Exons: 3
Source: RefSeq, a predicted model, not a curated record